UGUGUAGGCGGUUCUCUAAGUUCCGUGUGAAAUCUCCCGGCUUAACUGGGAGGGUGCGCGGAAGACUGGAGGGCUGGAGUAUGGGAGAGGAAAGCGGAAUUCCUGGUGUAGCGGUGGAAUGCGUAGAUAUCAGGAGGAACACCUGCGGUGUAGACAGCUUUCUGGACCAUCACUGACGCUGAGACACGAAAGCGUGGUAGCAAACA
This 206-nucleotide ribosomal RNA is filed under the name uncultured bacterium. RNAcentral's name for it is "partial 16S ribosomal RNA". It matches the Rfam family "Bacterial small subunit ribosomal RNA", at positions 568 to 774 of the family's 1533-position model. The record is from RNAcentral.